CCGAUGCAAAGAGACAAGAUGGAAGUCUCUUCAUGGCCCUCUCUUAGCUCUGGCACCUGAGCGUCAGUUGGAGAUGGUGGGAGGGGCCUCAGCCGAUGCAAAGAGACAAGAUGGAAGUCUCUUCAUGGCCCCCUCUUAGCUCUGGCACCCGAGCGUCAGUUGGAGUUGGACUUGGUUGUAGUUGGACUUGGUUGUUUGUUCAGUUCACUUCACUUACAGACAGAUUAACCAGACCAAUCUAACUAAUGGUUAACAGAACCCUCGCUCUAUCUCUGAGAAUAGUAACAAGUCUGACUAACCUAACUAGGUAGUCCCCUGGGUUAUUAACUAACUCUAACUAGAGUUCUUCCUGUUAAUUAGCCCAGUAUAGAGAGUCAAUCCCUUGUGCUAAUUCCCACAAGAAACCACCCUGCUGUCUGACCCUUUUCCUGUCAGCUCACAGCAAUUGACUCUGUAACCUACACUUCCCAAACUCUUUCUCUCUCCCAACAACUCUCCAACUCCAACCUCCAACUCUGACUGAAGCUCCCUUCCUUCUCUCCCUCCUUUCUAAGACUUGGCUCCUCCCAACUUCCUCUGGCCAAUCCUAGGAGUCUCCAAAACUCCUCCCCUUUUAACCAGCCUCACUUAAGAUGGCUGCCUCCCUGGUAUGCUCUCCUAAAAUGGAGGCCUGCCCACUGUUAUCCAGGCUCCUUUUCCGGCCUAACAGAGAUUGUGAGCACUUUGUGAGAGAAUACUUCUAGAACAUGGCCAUACAGCCCGGAAAACAUGCAACAACCCUGUGAUCCCGGCCAUGAAAGCCUCCAACAACACAUUGAGGACAUUCCUCUGCAGCCAAAACAUCUGGGGACCCACAGGUUGAGAACCAAUGCUCUAGAGGAACUAUUCCAAGACUUUGAGUUGGAUAUGUGAAACUGCAAAUAUAGCAACGCCUAUUGAAAUGAAGAAUUCUAGCCCAAGCAUACCAAAGUAUUGUGCUCGAGUACAUAAAAAAUGCCUAUAGAAGGCACAUUUUGUUGUCUUUGAAUAAAUAAUGCUGCAGAUACUGGUCUCGUGAAUAUGGGGAUCACACUGCAAUCCCUUUCUUUCUCUUGAGAGGAAGGAAUUAUAUGAAGCUAAAAGCUAUGCUCCAAUAGCUCCAUUCUAUAACUUGUUAAUCCAGCAGUCCUUAGUAUAAUGCAGAAAUAUUCUGUUGAUGGCAUGAAUGUGUGCACAGCAUUUUAAGAACAAUUCAAAACCCGGAGAAGUUCCUUUUUUGGUUUAUGGCUGGUAGAAUCCCUUAGCUAGUUGAGGAAUUUUGAGGAGUUGUAGUCCAAAAUAGUAAUUUUUCCAGGCACAGAGACAUAGCAACAAGGAAGACCUCUGUGGGAAGUCUGCACUAAACCAUUUAAUGCAUUGCUUCCACAUUUGUUUGAAUGAAAAUCUGUAGAGGUACAGAAGAUCUUUUUUUUCGCAGAACCAAUCAGAGAAGCUGAAAAUGCUUUUAAAGCAAAAGGGGAGAACGGAUGUGGUUUAGUCUAAACAGGAUUUAUUUAAGGUUUAAGCAGUCUUUUCUCCCUUGGGGAAUUUAUGCUGCCAUUUAAAUGUUUAUUUCCGAAUAUUUUACACAUCACUGCAAUCACUUUCAGAUGACUUAAACAUAUGCAUGGUAUUAUUGUUUAUGCCUUCUGUCAUCUCAUACAUUUUUCUUCAGCUGUUCUUUAUUUUGAAACCACUUUGAUGUCUCUUGAUUUAGGACUUGCCAAGAUGGGAAAUCCUAAUCAAGGCAGCCACUACUUCAGAAGGGCUUUUUUGGCAUUCAAUCACAGAUUUAUUUCUUUUUAAAAGUGAGGAUAAGUAAGAGAAUAUACAUGCUGAUCUCAGCUGUAGCGUUGUUUGAUCUUUCGACUUUUGCACCAAUUAGCAUAUAUAUCUUGGUAAAUUUGCUCUGUGGAAAUCCCCAGUUGGCUUGAUUUGCCAUUACCUGUUGCUAUUGAAGACCAAAUAUGUAUCCAACUUGCAAAUGAGAUAAAAGUGGGAUGAGGAUAUGGACUAGUUUAUAAGCCCACCUCCAGUAGUUGAGUCCUGCCCAUUCAAUCUUGACCAUCUCAUGUUUUGUGAUGGAACAUUUGAAGGGGAGUCUCCACUCAUGCUUUCUUGAAUGUCAACAAGAGAUUCUGUGUAAUUGGGAGAGCCUCUUUGGAUUUAUUUGCAUGCCUAUUCGCAUUCUUUAUUUUACUCUCAUAUGGACAAGCUGAGCCUUAACAUAAACAAUCCUCAUUAUUUAUAUAUUUGUUAACAUAAUCUUA
Molecule: long non-coding RNA, 2288 nt
Organism: Anolis carolinensis (green anole)
Lineage: Eukaryota; Metazoa; Chordata; Lepidosauria; Squamata; Anolidae
Exons: 3
Source: RefSeq, a predicted model, not a curated record